AAAAUACUUAUACUUUAAAUCUAAGGCUUCGUUUGGAACUACAAUUCACUUCAACUCAUCUCAAUUCAUCAUUACAAUUUUUUCAAAUUUCAAUACAAAAUAUAAUAAACAAUUCAACUUUUUUAAAUCUCAAAAUAAUAAUAUUAUUAA
Long non-coding RNA from Juglans microcarpa x Juglans regia, 150 nucleotides. RefSeq lists it as uncharacterized. The transcript is spliced from 4 exons. The record is from RefSeq and is a predicted model, not a curated record. Lineage: Eukaryota; Viridiplantae; Streptophyta; Magnoliopsida; Fagales; Juglandaceae.